AAACCAGCACCUCAAGUGGUCAGGAUGAUUAUUGGGCCUAAAGCAUCCGUAGCCGGCUCUGUAAGUUUUCGGUUAAAUCUGUACGCUCAACGUACAGGCUGCCGGAAAUACUGCAGAGCUAGGGAGUGGGAGAGGUAGACGGUACUCGGGAGGAAGUGGUAAAAUGCUUUGAUCUCUCGAUGACCACCUGUGGCGAAGGCGGUCUACCAGAACACGUCCGACGGUGAGGGAUGAAAGCUGGGGGAGCAAACCGGAUUAGAAACCCGAGUAGUCC
This 274-nucleotide ribosomal RNA is filed under the name uncultured bacterium. RNAcentral's name for it is "partial 16S ribosomal RNA". It matches the Rfam family "Archaeal small subunit ribosomal RNA", at positions 473 to 747 of the family's 1478-position model. The record is from RNAcentral.